This 726-nucleotide ribosomal RNA is filed under the name Triticum aestivum (bread wheat). RNAcentral's name for it is "partial small subunit ribosomal RNA". Lineage: Eukaryota; Viridiplantae; Streptophyta; Magnoliopsida; Poales; Poaceae. The record is from RNAcentral.
AUGGAGAUGUCAGUGACGCGACAGGGGGUUUCUCUCCUGCACGCUCCUGCUCCUGUUGAGAGUCUCCUCGUGCACUCCGUCGCCGCCCCACUCCCUCUCUCUCUCUCCGGCGGCUCUGCCGUCCGGCGUGAGGAUGGGUUAGGUGGUUGCUCUCCCUCUGUUCAUAGUAGUCUUAGGUUUAGGUGUAGGUUGUGUCUUGCCUCCGUGGCGUCUGGCGUUAUGCCGUUCUCGAGCUCCCCAUCGAUGCGUCCAGGCAGCGUUCGGUGCUCGCCGGGUUCCUCCCGAGCUUGCCGUCCAUGGAGGACGGCAGCAGAUAGGAGUGGAUCUGGCAAGAGCUAUCCCUCUCCAAUAAGCAUGUUAUCUUCCCUGAUCUGGAGGGCAACCAUCUGCUGUUGCUUGCUUUUUCAGGCCAUCAUGGGGGUGGAUGAGGAGCAGGGAAGAUGCAGAAAUCUGAAGCCUGCAGAUCGAGCUUAUCAGCAGAUGAUUCCAUGGUGGAGCUACGGCGCCCUUGGCUGGCUGCCGGUCUUCACCGGUGCUCUGCUUCUUCUGGUCGAAGGGCGACCGACUUUAUUCCUCCUGGCUUGCGUGCCUUAUGGGAGGCAGUUUCAGCUGCAACUCGGAGGCCAUGCGAAGCAGGUUAUGCUUCUAUGGCGAUUUCGUCGCACCAAGUGGUUCGUCCCCGGCGGCGGCGAGAUUCAAUCCGGGCGGCGGCUGUCAAGGACCUGA